AAAGUCACAAACGCAAGCCUGUGGGAAGGAAGGGAUGUUUGAAGAUGGAAAUAUGCGUUUGUGCAGGAUGGGUUUCAUGAGGCUUACCAUCCACCCAUGAAACUUAUCUGAUUUGGCCCUGAUUGCUGUGACAAAUGCUUGAGCAAUUAAGUUUAGACUUAAAAUAGAGGGGUGUGCAACAAAAGCAUAUGAUGAACAAAAUGACCGCGGUAAGGAGUGACUUAAUUAAAUUGCAGCAACUGUUGCAAUCCUUCUUGCUGGCCCUGGGUGAUAAGCAUUGGAAACUGUCCAAAAUAUUACCAGAUUGGGAAGAUACAGAAGAACAAGACCAUGAAUUGAACUGUAUUAUACCCCUCUGAACAUAGAAUAUGGGCAUGAGAAAUUAAAAGCCAGUGGCAAACCAUUAACCUAGAGCCCUGCUCUAUGAAGGAACAGUUAGGCUACAUAUGUGAAAGGAUUUUAGGUAAAGGCAUUUGUUUGGACUCUCUCCAUAGACCAGCAUUUUAAAUACUGGUAGUUUGCAUGAAAACUCCACAAAAAUUGAGUUUAUGCAUACAUCCUGUUCAAAUUACGGAAAAGGAACUGAUUUACUUAUCUGCCCCAAAGGGUGGGUAUUACACAUUCACUGGAAUAAACAUACAGCAGAACACUCAAUGUGACAAAGCCAGGGCAGGUCUCAGACUCCUUCCUCUCGCAAAAAGCAAGAGCAGCACACCUUUCAUACACAUACAGGAUAACAGUUUUGGGCAUGUUUUAUGUGACUUCUAUCUCUUCCUUCUCCUUCUAGAAUGAUUCACCUACAGAAAAAAUCCGUUCUGUUGGAGAGGAACUGUCUACACUAAAUGGGAAGGUAUGAAUUAGCAUCUCCAGCUUUUAGAGGGCAACUGUUCUUGUUUAUGUUCCAGGAAAUCCAUCUUUAUUAAGAUUUUGAUACUGCAUACUUACUUAACCACUUAACGCUGUUUUAAGAUACUGGGCUUUGAAGCAGUGAGUAAUUUCCACUGAUCUCAGUGGAAACUUAAAGCCAUCAGUAACGAGUGCUUCUAAAGAUCCUAUUCCCCAUUUUAUCCCAGAACCCCCAGAAAGGAACCGUACUAAACGGACUCAUUCAGUAUGGUUCUAGAAUACCAGUGCCAUACAGAGAGUAAUAUACAGACCUGACAUAGGUGCCUUUAUCACCAUAUUUUAAGAUUUCAUAAAUACUUCAAGAAAGAGUCUUCAGAAAGCACCAAAGUAAAGUCAGUAGUUCAAGUGACAAGCUCCUUCAAAGAUCAAUGCAACUUCCUUGGAUCUGAAGCUUUUAGUGUGCUUUUCCUGGCUGUAUAAUUGCUGAAUAUUGCCACGUAAAUAUUUUCUUUUCUUUCUUUUCUUUCCCUAUGCAAUCUCUUCCAGAAUAUGUUAGUAGUAGAGGUAAGUAACAAUUGAAGGAGAAGGGGAAUGACAUGGACUUUUUUCUCCCUGCUUUUCAAGUUAAUACAUAUUACACAUAAAACAAUAAUUAAUUAUGUUACUGGGCUGCCAAGUUUGCAUGCUCUAAUUUAAUCCAGUGAUAGUCUGGUUUUCCUUUCAGACUUGAAGGAUAAUUUGGUUUUUUAUCUCUUUCGGGACAUUACUGACACUGGUAGAACAAUGAAUGCACUGCUUUCAAAAAUAAAAGACAAGAAAACCAAGGAUGGUAAAAGUUGUAAGCCUGCUUGUUAAAAGGACAUGUCAGAGUCCAGGUUACAGAUCAGACUGUGAGUAUUGUGUUCUCCUAGUAUUGUUUUUUUCUGUAUUUUCCAAAAUAUAGUCUUAUAAUUUCACUUCACGCAGCACAUCUGACAACCGGCACAUACAUUUCAUGAAAGCCAAGAGAAAUGGGGAGAAAAUACAUAAAAACUUGUGAACUAAUGACCAGCUAGGCAUGCCAUCCUGAGAUCUCAUGACCACCUUCUUUUUUUCCCCUGCUUGGCCUGAGUGCAGGCUUAGCUUUGAUAUACAAAUUAAACUAUUUAGAUAGCAGAAACAGAGCCAAACCUUAACUGUGUAUUAUUUUGCUUUGACCUGAGAGGGCAUUUGUUUUGACUCUGCAUUAUUAAACUUGCUUUGUUUCCAAACUGAAAAGUCCUACAUCAUUCACCCUGCAUCUCCUUUUACUCAAGUAAAAUCUCACUCCUUGUCUCGUCUCCCAGGACUACCUCAUAACUAGGUUUUAAACAAUUAUUUUGUUCAUAAAAAUCAUUCUCUUAACAACUGUAUUACUGACUGAUGGGAAUGGUUUAGAUUCUUACCUCUGACAUCAAUUUACAGCUCAGAUUCUUAAGGAAGCACCCUGAAAGAGAGAGGAUGCCGAUUACUCUUAGCUCAAGCAUGUGUUGAAUACAAAGUGUGCACUUAAAAGCUACUUACGCCACUGAAGUAUAAAAAGAACAGUAUUUUCUUACAGAUACAGGCUUUGAAAUUCCAGAUAAAUUUGUGAUUGGAUAUGCUCUUGACUAUAAUGAAUACUUCAGAGACCUAAAUGUAAGUACAUGCACAUUCCUCCACUACCAGGUAUCAGGUACCUACCUACUGCAGGUACCCAGCAAGAACAUUUGCUUCUACUCAGAGCUUCUCAGCAAUUAAAAACCCUUCCAUUCCAA
Molecule: long non-coding RNA, 2621 nt
Organism: Corvus hawaiiensis (hawaiian crow)
Lineage: Eukaryota; Metazoa; Chordata; Aves; Passeriformes; Corvidae
Exons: 2
Source: RefSeq, a predicted model, not a curated record